RNAcentral lists this ribosomal RNA (166 nucleotides) under uncultured bacterium. RNAcentral's name for it is "partial 16S rRNA". It matches the Rfam family "Bacterial small subunit ribosomal RNA", at positions 351 to 511 of the family's 1533-position model. The record is from RNAcentral.
GCAGUAGGGAAUCUUCCACAAUGGCGAAGCCUGAUGGAGCAACGCCGCGUGUGUGAUGAAGGGUUUCGGCUCGUAAAACACUGUUGUAAGAGAAGAAUGACAUUGAGAGUAACUGUUCAAUGUGUGACGGUAUCUUACCAGAAAGGAACGGCUAAAUACGUGCCAG